RNAcentral lists this ribosomal RNA (447 nucleotides) under uncultured bacterium. Its description in RNAcentral is "partial 16S ribosomal RNA". It matches the Rfam family "Bacterial small subunit ribosomal RNA", at positions 29 to 523 of the family's 1533-position model. The record is from RNAcentral.
AGCGAACGCUGGCGGCAGGCUUAACACAUGCAAGUCGAACGCCCCGCAAGGGGAGUGGCAGACGGGUGAGUAACACGUGGGAACGUACCCUUUGGUUCGGAAUAACUUGGGGAAACUCAAGCUAAUACCGGAUCAGCCCGUAUGGGGAAAGGUUUACUGCCGAAGGAUCGGCCCGCGUCUGAUUAGCUAGUUGGUGAGGUAAUGGAUCACCAAGGCGACGAUCAGUAGCUGGUCUGAGAGGAUGAUCAGCCACACUGGGACUGAGACACGGCCCAGACUCCUACGGGAGGCAGCAGUGGGGAAUAUUGGACAAUGGGGGCAACCCUGAUCCAGCCAUGCCGCGUGAGUGAUGAAGGCCUUAGGGUUGUAAAGCUCUUUUACCCGGGACGAUAAUGACUGUACCGGGAGAAUAAGCCCCGGCUAACUUCGUGCCAGCCGCCGCAGUAA